UGAGUAACCUGCCCUUGACUCUGGGAUAAGCCUGGGAAACCGGGUCUAAUACCGGAUAUGACCCCUCACCGCAUGGCGGGGGGUGGAAAGCUUUUGCGGUUUUGGAUGGACUCGCGGCCUAUCAGCUUGUUGGUGAGGUAAUGGCUCACCAAGGCGACGACGGGUAGCCGGCCUGAGAGGGUGACCGGCCACACUGGGACUGAGACACGGCCCAGACCUCCUAUGGGAGGCAG
RNAcentral lists this ribosomal RNA (233 nucleotides) under uncultured bacterium. RNAcentral describes it as "partial 16S ribosomal RNA". It matches the Rfam family "Bacterial small subunit ribosomal RNA", at positions 118 to 351 of the family's 1533-position model. The record is from RNAcentral.